Equus caballus (horse) is the source of this 14457-nucleotide long non-coding RNA. The record is from Ensembl. Lineage: Eukaryota; Metazoa; Chordata; Mammalia; Perissodactyla; Equidae.
CAGUCUCGUGGGGCUUGUAGAAAAUUCGCAGGCACUUAUAAUGCAUGGUGGGGAGGUGCUGGGGGCCAAGUAUGAGGCCCCCUGGCAGUUCCUCAGCAGGGUCCUUGACCCUAUCCAGGAGCAUCACAGAAGGCUUCCACAGGGAUGAGCUCCAAGUUGGGAGCUGAAGUUCAAGCGGAGGUUAUUUAAAUUGUGAAUAACAGAAAUUCACAAGAUCAGAGGAUGAAAGACCCCUCUGGCCACAGGGCAGAGAAUGAACAGGAGAGGGGCACGUGUGGAACAGGGAAACCAGCGAUGAGGCUGUUGCUUCAACUGGGAGAACAGAAGAGAGGCAGAGGCCAUUUGGAUGGAGAGAAAGGGACGCAUACAAGAGCCAUCCUGGAGGUGGCAUCGAGAGAAGCUGGUUGAUGAGGAGGAUCUGUUUGGGAUGGGAGAAGGGAUUCAAACACACUGGUAGGUUUCUGGCUUCAGAAACUCUGGAUGGUGGUGUGUCCUGGGGCUGGAUAACACAGAGGGACAGGCCAGGACCUGCAGCCAAAGCCUGCCCCUCCGCCUGCACCAUGAGGAGUCAGGCUUGUGGACACUCUGGUCUGCACAGCCCAGCUCCCCGCACGCCGCCCUCCCAACAAACAGCUGCCCCUGUGCCUGCAGUGGAGUGUGCCCCCCAGAGGAUGGCCAGACCCUGGAAGAAGCUCCGAGCUGCCUGGGUGGGGAAUUCUGGAGUCUUGGAACGUAAGUAUUGUUGAGGGAUGGCGAGAGCUCGGGGUGGCCAUGUCCUGUGAGAAGGAGCAGAGCCAAAAGCAGCAAGAGAGGAGGUUCCAAGUGCCCCCAGGGCAGAGGGCCUGGGACAGCAGGUCUGAGGGCAGUACUGCAGGGAGAGAGUAGGGUGAAGGGCGACACUGAGUUCAGUUCUGGGCACAUUGUGUCUGAAGGGCCGCUGGAGAUACCCGGGAGGUAGUCACAAAUGUCCUUCUGGGACCAGGAAGGAGAUCAUGAAGUCCUACACAUCUUCCCAUGUCCACUCCCCUCAGCCUUACAUGUUUAAACCGGGACUAUGGGGGCCGGCCUGCUGGCAUAGUGGUUAAGCUCGCAUGCUCUGCCUAAGUGGCCCAGGGUUUGCAGGCCCGGAUCCCUGGCAUAGACCUAGCACCACUGGUCAAGCCACGCUGAGGCGGCAUCCCACAUAAAGAUGAGGAAGAUUGACAUGAAUGUCAGCUCAGCACCAAUCUUCCUCAAGCGAAAAGAGGAAGAUUGGCAACAGAUGUUAGCUCAGGGCCACUCUUCCUUGCCAAAAAAAUAACCAGGACUAUGCUGGGCUGUGUGAUGUGGCCCCGAGUCUCCUUCUCACUCCAACAUUGUCUAUGCCCUAACCUACCUUCUCCCACUUCCUUGUCUCGCCCCCAGGCUGGUGAACCCGCGGGGGCAAAGCAUGAGGAAGUCUGUUCACCAAAUUCUUGUAAUCAGUUUAGUUACACAACAAAAUUCAGAUCAGAGUGAGGAUUAGCAGAGGAAGUUUGUGAACGGUGCUUUGAACUUCACAGAGGAAAGCCCCCUCCCCCAUUCACAUAAAGAAAGGCCAAGGUAUUAAACGUGACGUAAACCCAUGGCCGCCCCCAGGCCUCGCUGCCGCCCCAUGCAGCCGGCUGGGUGAUCAGCUGGCAUCCCAAAUUGCCUCCCCCCAUGGCAUUCCAUCCAGGUCUCCCAGAGUGGGGGAAAAUGGAUUCUGUCCUCAGCCCGCUGCUCCUGGAAUUGCAAGCAUUCGGUGAGCUGGCCCCCCAGGCCUGGCUGCUCCAGGACUCCUGCCUGCAGCCCGGGGCCGGCAAAGUAAGGAGGGACGGUCCCCUCCCCACAGCUCCCCAUCUCACUCGGAGCCCAGGGCACGGAGGGAAAGAAGAAGGGCAGAGCGGGGGGUCAGAGCAGCCCUCUGCACAGCCUGGGCUGCUGCUGGCGGGUUAUUGUUCCCAGAUGGAGACUGUCAAACCCUGUCAGCCUCAGAUACACACUGAGAGCAUUACAUCCGCAUUCCUGGAAUGUGUAGCUGCCCGGCUUCGCCUCUGCAGCCCUCCAUUGAAUAACAUGUCAGCUUCCUUCAGCCUCACCUCCAGCUAAAACCCUCUCACCCACUCACAGCCUCGCGUAUGGAGCACACACGCACCAUGGCUGUCUAAAUAUUUAAGCUGGGCUAAGGGGAGGCGUAUGUAGUUGGAAUUCAUCGCACUGGCUUGUCCGAGCUGGGUGGGUCUCACCUGUUGGUGCUGGUUCUAUGGAAAGCUUUGGAAGCCAAGAUCCAUUGACUGUGCUCCUUGGGCUCCAGGGCUGAUGACGUGACUGCUAUCCCAGGGGCUGGCAGCCUGUGGCACCUGGGCGAAGGAGCAUGGCAACUUGGCUGCUGCUGUUUACUUAAGGGCCUGGCUGCUGGCACCACAAGAGGCCUUGCCAGGGACUGCUGGAGGGCUCCUGUGCCCUUCAUUCCCAUCCACUGUCCUGGAUCUGCCAUGGUAGGAACACAGCCCCUCCAGCCGGGUCCUGGCAUUGCCUCCCAGAGCUGUGAGGCUGCUCCCACCCUGGCAGAGCCUUACCACGUGAGUCUAUUCUCUUUGGCUAGUGUGAAAUAAAUUAGGCUCUUGUUCAAACUGCACUGAAUCUGCAGGCCACAAGGGUACCUGUGGGGACAGUUGAGGACACCUGGAGCCCAGGAAUGGUAAGUGACUUGCUCAGGAUCUCACAGCAGUUGACGAUGAAGCUGGAUCUAUAAUCCCAGACCUUUGACAUUUCAUCUGUUGUAGCUUGAAUCGUGUCCCCAGAAAGAUAUGUUGAAGUCCCAACCCCUCGUGCCUACGAAUGCGAGCUUAUUUGGAAAUAGAUGCAAUCGAGCUGAGAUGACGUCAUUAGGGCGGACCCUAAUCCAGUAUGACUGGCUUCCUAUGAAGGGGGGGAAAUGUGGACACAGACAGACACACAGAGAAAAGAUAGCCGUGUGAAGAUGAGGCAAAGAUUAGAAUUCUAAUUCUAAUCACAGUCACAAACCAAGGAACACCUGGAUGAAGCCACCCGACCCUGCAAGAGGCAAGGAAGAGUCCUCCCCUCAAGGCUUCGGAAGGAGCACGGCCCUGCCAACAUCUUGAUUUCAGACUUCCGGGAUCCAGAGCUGUGAGAGAGUAAGUUUCUGCUGUCUUCAGUCAUCCACUUAAUGGUGCUUUGUUACCGCAGCCCCAGGAAGCCAACGUACCCCUAAAAGAGCUUCUGAUGCAAGAACCGGGUGAAAUUCUGCAUGAAAAUGCAGUUCCUUGGAAGCAAUGAGAGAGGGCUAAUUGUGGGUUUGGGAUUUCAGAAUACCUACCAGGUCAUUGCAGUGUGCAAGUCAUCUUUGAGGAAGACCCGACGCUCUGCGCCUCCGCUUUUCCUGAGAAAUGCCCUUUACCAAGGCUCAAUGAUAUGGACUCCUUAUCAAUUUUUAAACUUGAAUUUAUGAGUCGAUGUAAAAUCAGAGGGACUUUUCCUCUUAAUCCUUCUUUAGGCUGACCUACCUAAUUCUGAUCAUUUCCAUUUAAGUGGCCUUCCCAUCUCAGGGAUUUUGAAGUACUUACCAAACUCUAUGACCCAUGGGAGUGGCCUCUGGGGUUAGGAAUUCCUGGUUUACAUCUGCCCUCUGACCUCACCCUGUCGCAAUGACUCCGUUAAACUGAGUCAUUUGAUUCAGUGGAUUCCAUAAAGAAGAUAAGAGCUGGUGUAGAAAAUACUGUGGCUUAUGGGGCUGGCCCAGUGGCGCAGUGGUUAAGUGCGCAGGUUCCACUCCUCGGUGGCCCGGGGCUCGCCGGUUCAGAUCCCAGGUGUGGACAUGGCACCACUUGGUACCCUAUGCUGUGGAAGUAUUCCCACAUAUAAAGUACAGGAAGAUGGGUACGGAUGUUAGCUCAGGGCCAGGCUUCCUCAGCAGAAAGAGGAGGACUGGCAGUGGUUAGCUCAGGGCUAAUCUUCCUCAAAGAAAAGAAAAGAAAAUACUGUGGCUUAGGGCUGACUGUGGGCCUUGGGUUUGGGCAAAUGGAUGCUUUGCAAUUAACCUUGAUGUUUUUCUUAAUUCUCAAGAGAUGGAGAUUAUGAGCUGCUGAUUUCUCCAAGAAUCCAUUGCCCCAUGCCUUCAGUCUGUAAUGAUGCAUCUUACAAAGCAUUAGUUGGUGGCUUGAAAUCAGUUAUGGCUGGGUUUCUAACACCCAGCAACACUGGUCUGAGAAAACCCUCAUGCCCGCUGCCUUCUGUCAACCUCACACAUUGGCUGCGGCUGGUUGCCCAAGCCCUAAUUUCCUGGUUGUGUAACUUUGAGAGUGACUGUCCUAAUAGAUAUGUUCUAUUUCCUUGCCUCACUGCUCUUCACUGAAGUCUCUUGUUUACUGUGGAACCGCUCUGGGAAUCUAAACAUGCCAACGGAUAGCUCACCCUGCCCCACAAGGCGUGAGUUGAGUUAAGUGGAACCAUACCUUUGCUUUCUUCCCAAACCCAUGGGUGGAACCAAUUGAAACUUCAUGAUCGUGCAAUGCAUGUGCAGAAACUCCCCUGCGUGUUCUAAUGUUCCUCCCAAGAAGGACACGAUAUUUUCGCCUGUGUUUUACCUCCCAAAGACAGGCACCGCACUCUAAGGACCAUAGGUCUAAACAAUUGGCCACUGCUUAAAUGAGUGGUGGCACAGCCGUGCAAUGCCCCCCAAGGCAGCCACAGAAAGUCAUGCUUUGGAAGCAAAUUCAAUGACAUGGCAAAAUGUUUAUGGUCUGCUGUUAAGUAAAAAAAAACUGCUUAGAAAACAGAAUGUACAGUAUGAAAAGAAUUCCGUAAAAAUUGUGUGUAUAUCCAUAGAAAAUCUGGAAGGCUGUACUCCAAAAUGUAAACAUUGAUGAAACACUCAGCGCUGUGAACAUGCAACAGCCCAGUACGUGCAAGGCUCCAUGGCGUCUGCCCCAGAGAACAAGCAGUGGCUGCCAUCCUGGCACUGGGCUGUGCCUGCUGGGAAGGUCCAUCUUUUUCUAAUCAUACAUGGCACCAUACAGACUGGAGUCAGCUCUGGGGAUGAUGAACUUGGGCAGACCUCGCCCUUCCUGAGGGUACCUUCCUGUGUGGGGGGUGUAGUGACUGGUGAGGGCAUGAUUCUGUGCUGCUCAGUGAGGCUAAGAAGGAAAGCAGCAGGACACAUGCCACCUAUCCACUACUGCCAAAGCCACCAGGUAGUGACAUUACCACCAUCACAGCUAAAGGAUUCUGAUUGGAACAGCAUUAAAUCGAUCUGAGAAAAACUGACAUUUUUACUGUGUUGAGUCUUCCAAUCCAUGAACAUGGUAUGUCUCUCUAUUUACUUAGGUCUUCUUUGAUUUUUUUUCAUCCAUUAGUGUUCAUACAGACCUUAUAUAUGUCUUGUUAGAUUUAUACCUAAGUAUUUAAUUUUGUGGGUAACCAUUAUAAGUGAUAUUUUUUUUAAAAGUUUUGGUGUCCAGUUGUUCAUUGCUAGCAUGUAGAAAUACAAUUGAAUUUUGUGUGCUGACUUUGCAUCCUACAACCUUACCAAACUCACUUAUUAGUUCUUGAAAUUUUUUUAAAAAUCAGAUUCCUUGGGGGCUGGCCUGGUGGCGCAGCAGUUAAGUGCACACGUUCCACUUCUCGGCAGCCCGGGGUUUGCCGGUUCGGAUCCCGGGUGCAGCCAUGGCACCACUUGGCAUGCCAUGCUGUGGUAGGCAUCUCACAUAUAAAGUAGAGGAAGAUGAAGAUGGAUGUUAGCUCAGGGCCAGUCUUCUUCAGCAAAAAGAGGAGGAUUGGCAGCAGUUAGCUCAGGGCUAAUCUUCCUCAAAAAAAAAAAAAAAGAUUCCUUGGAUUUUCAUGUAAUUUACAACCAGGGACAGCUUUAUUUCUUCCUUUCCAAUCUGUUUGCCUUCAUUUCUCUUUCUUGCCUUAUUGCACUGACUAGGACUUUCAAUAUGAUGUUGAACAAGAAUACAGAAGCUGGAAAACCUUGCCUUGUUCUUAAUCCUGAGGGGAAAGUAUUUAGUGUUUCGUCAUUAAGUACCAUGCCAGCUGUAGCUUUUUUGUAGAUGUCCUUUAUUAGAUUGAGGAAGUUCCCUUCUCAUCCCUUAUGGUGCAUGUGCUUGCAAGACUGUGUGAUGGGUAGGAAGAGUGUGGGCUUUGGGGCAGAGGAGACUGGCUCUGGGGUUCAGCUCCACUACUCUCUAAUUAUGCAACUGUGUGUAGAUAAUGCAGAACUUCCCAUACAUGAAGUUAAGGGAAUGCAACCUUCCUCAUGAAGUCUUUGAGAGGAAUAGCUGAGAUCAAGUACAUGAAGAACCCGCCACAGUACUAGUCAUGUAACAGAUGCUCAGUAGUGGUGUUUUGAUGGUUAAUUCCACAUGCACCAUUAUUCCAAAGGUUUUAAAACACCCUCAGAGGCCCUGCAUGUUCUGUCAGCCUCCUUUGGUCCCUCUGUUACUUCCCUGUCCUUGUCUCCUCUUACUCCCCUCCCUUUCACCCCUCCUGCUUCAGCCACACAGGCGGAGGCUGUGUCAUUCCACACACACCAGGCACACUGCCCUGAGAGUGGGCCAUUCCCUAUACACAAACAGCUCUCCCCCUAGAUACUCACACAGCUCAUCUCCCCAUCUCCUUAAGACUUCACUCAAAUGUCACUUUUCCAUGAAACCUACUCUGACCGUUUGUGUUUGCUCCUAGGACUACAAACACAGAUUACCACAAACUGGUGCCUUAAAACACAAGAGACAUUUAUUUUCUAACAGCGUGGGGGCCAGAAGCCCGAAGUCAAGGUGAUGACACAGCCACACUCCACAGUCUCUGGGGGGGAUGCCUUCCUUUCUUCUUCCAGCUUCUGGUGGCUGCAAGUAUUCCUUGACUUGCCAGUCUCUGUCAUCGACUUUUUACCUGUGCCUGUGUCUCAAACCUUCCUCUGCCUUUUCUCUUCUAAGUACACCUGUCAUCGGAUUUAGGGCCCACCUGGAUAAUCUAGGAUGAUCUCAUUUCAAGACCUGUGAUGGUUAAUUUUUUGUGUCAACUUGACUGGACUGAGGGAUGUCCAGAUAGCUGGUAAAACAUCGUUUCUGAGUGUGUCUGUGAGGGUGUUUCCGGAAGAGAUUCGCAUUUGAAUUGGUAGACUGGGUAAAGCAGAUGGCCCUCCGCAUUACAGGUGGGCAUCGUCCCAUCCAUUGAGAUCCCAAAUAGAACAAAAGGGUAGAGGCAGGUGAAUUUGCUUUCUCUCUGCUUCAGCAGAGACAUAUCUGUCUUCUCCUGCCCUUGAACAUCGGCGCUCCUGGUUCUUGGGCUUUUGGACUCAGAUCAGGACUUACUCCAUCAGCCCCCAGAUUCUCAGGCCUUCAGACUCCGACUGAAUUAUACCACCAGCUUUCCUGGUUCUCCAGCUUCCAGACAGCAGAUGUUGGAACUUCUUGGCCUCCAAGACUGCGUAGGUCAAUUCCUACAAUAUGUCUCCUCUUGUAUAUAUCUAGAUAGAUAGAGUUAUAGAUAUAGAUAUAUCCUAUUGGUUCUGUUUCUCUGGAGAAUCCUGGCUAAUACAGGACCAUUAACUGAAUUGCAUCUGUAAAGACCCUUUUUCCAAAUAUGGUUACCUUCAUAGGUUCCAGAGGUUAGAAUUCAGACAUAUCUUUUUGGGGGCCAUUAUUCAACCCACUACAUUACUCUAUUUAACAACUGCAAAAUUGCACUCACACACACACACCACCACCAUCCUCCUGAUGCCCCUUACUCUGUUUCUGUUUUCUUAUUUUCCAUAGUUCUUGCCACCUUCUAACACACAAUAUCAUUUUCUUAUGUGUAAGUUUUAUUGUAAUUUUUGACCAGGACAGGGAUUUAUGUCUGUUUUGUUCAUUGAUAUAACACAGGAAUGUAGACUAGAGCGAUGCUUGGUGCAUAUCAAGUGCUCACUAAAUUCAUACUGAAUGAAUUGAUGAGUGAAUGAAUGACAUGUGUCAUGGGGAGCCAGUGGCCCAAACAGCUCCUGACAUUCAAGCAGGAGUCAAUAAAUGCCUGAGGAAUGAAAUGAGAUGAAACAGUCAGGAACUCGCCCUUAGGAGAACUCUGGGAGACCCCAACUGAAAAGGCAGAGUUAUUCCCAAGCUCCUUUUUCUAGUUUUAAUUUCUUUUUCCUCAGCAGAUUUCCAAAUCCUGAGCUGCCCACAUUGGGAGCAGUGAUUCUCUGCUGGUGACUCAGUGUUAAACGGUUCUGGAGCUGACUGAGCUGGAAAUUACUCCCCCCAAAUCUGGAAAGGUUUUGUUUUCAGAGAAUAUAUCUUGGUCUCUUGAUAAGGUAUAAUUAAUCACACAAAUGAGCAUAAUGACCAAAAAUAGGUUCCAAAGGGCAAGCUAAUUCUGGAUAAUUAUAAAUCAGAGGGUUUGAUGAGUCUAGGAUGCUGCUGGAUUGGGCAUCGAUGACCCAAGCCAAAUAUUCCACAGAAAAAUAAAGAUGGGGGCAAGCUCUGCACCUGGUUUCCAGAUGCUGCCACCCACUUGUCACCCCAUUCUGAUGCUCACUCUCAUUUAUCAUUUAUAAGAUACUUUGCGAUAUGCUUAUUUCUUUAUUUCCUGAAAUAAUGGCCUUUGAGACCAAAAAAAAAGAAAAAAGUGACUGGCUGCUGAGAAUGCAAUUUUGGAGCCUGGGUUUUCGUUUGGUUGUUUUGUCUAUUUCAGUUUGGUUGGGUUGUUUUUGCCUUCUGCAAAGUUCACAGCACAACUAAAGUCUUUAAAUAAAAAUGUUUCUUUUUUUUUCUUUUUUUUCCUUCUUCUCUCCAAAGCUCCCCAGUAGAUAGAUGUAUAUCCUAGUUGUGGGUCCUUCUAGUUCUGUUCUGUGGGACGCCACCUCAGCAUGGCUUGAUGAGCAGUGCUAGGUCCACGCCCAGAAUCCAAACCCAUGAAACCCUGGGCUGCUGAAGCAGAGAGCAUGAACUUCACCACUGGGCCACGGGGCUGGCCCUAGUUCUUAUUUUUAGUAAAACAGUAAGACAUGCUUUGAAAGGUGUUUAGAAAAUGCAGAUGAGGAAAAGGAAGAAAAUAUUUUUAAUUAACCUGUAACGCCACUGCCCAGAGAUAGCCGUGGCUGUGAUCGACAUUGUGUCUCACCUCCAUUGUUUUGCAUCUCAAGAACGUCCUCACUUCCUGCCCAUCUCACUCUUUGUUCAGCUGUUUUAGCUGUGUGCAUGGUGGUUUAACGAUGGCACAUGCCACAGAGCAAAGAGGCCAAGGACAACCUGCUGACUCCCCCAGUCUCUUCUCCCAUGUUGUAUCCUCAACAUCCUGGAUCCACGCCUGCAGGAGAAGCCGUCAUAUUGCAUUUGUCUUGCAAGGAUUUAAUCACAGGCCUCCAGGAAGCACGGCCCAGAGCCAGAGCUCCACCCUGGAAGACGUUCUGGUUCUAGGUCUGUCUCAGAAUUACUGUGGACCUCCAUGUUCCAGCAAAGAAUGAAAAGAAUAGAAUCUAUCCAUCAUUCAUUCAACAAAUAUUUACCAACCACUUGCUCUGUGCCAGUGUUCACAUUUUCUAUGCUGCAUAACAAACCACCCAAAACAGAAUGGCUUUUAACAACUAUUUAUUAUUACUUCUUAUAAGUUUGUUCUUGGGCUGGGCUCAGCGGGGAGGUCUUGCUCUGAGUCUCACAGGUGGCAAUCAGCUGGUGGCUGGGCCUGCAGUCAUCCGAAGGCUCGUCCGGGCUGGAUGACCAAGAUGGCUCCCUCCGCAGCAGGAGGCUCGGUGCUCUGAGGAUGGCCCCUGCCUCUUCACGUGGGGUUACAUCCUCCAGGCCUUCUCCACCGGGCUUGGGCUUCGCACAGUAUGGUGGCUUCAGGCUACUACUCCUUCUUACAUGGCAACUGCCUUCCAAAGGUAGAAAGCAGAAGCUGCCAGGCCAGUUAAGGGCCACACCAAGGACAGGUAUAGCAUCAUUUCUGUCACAUUCUAGGAGUGAAAGCUGUCACAGGGCCUACCCAGAUUCAGGGAGGUGGAGAAACAGACUCUACCUCUUGAUGGGAGAGUGGCAAAUCACCUGGCAGAAGGGCAUGUGGGAUAGGAAAUACUGUUGCCACCAUCCUUGGAAACUCUGGCCUGCCACAAGUAGGCACUGUGUACAGGCAGGGUAUACAGUGUUGAGGGCCCCUCAGUCCUCAGAGCUAACAUCUAGCAGGCAAGACAGACAUUAAACAAAUAACCAUGCAGUAAAAUAUAUAUUUCCACAGUGAAAAGCUAGGCACUGUGAUGGAAAAGCACAAUGGGAAAGGAAAAGAAUAAAUGGAGCUUGGUCAAGGAAUGCCUCUCGGAAAAUGGCGCACGUAGACUGAGACCCCAGUGGUGAGCAGGAGUUGUCCAACUGAAUAGCAUUCCAAGCAGAAGGAGCAGCAUGUGAGAAAGAAGGAGAGUGGGGUUAAAAUAUACGGAGAAAGAGGAAGAUGGGUGCAAAAAGAGGUUGAGGAAAUAAGCCAGGCCUGGGUCAUGUAGGGCCUGGCAGCCCUUAUUGAGUAUCUAGGAUUUUUUUUUCUCAAUGCAAUAGAAAACCACUUGUUUUGUUUAGGUUAGAUUCAGUUGUAGGUGACAGGAACCUAAAAUAAUAAUGAAUUAAACAAGGCAGAAAUAUCUCUCUCCCUCACAUGAGCUACGUUUUACAUAAUCCAUCAGAGGAUAGGAUGCUUGUCUCUAGUAUCAGGGACCAGCACCUUCCAUCUUCCAUCUUCAGAAUACAGUUUACCCCUCCCUCAUGGUUCAGGAUGGCUGCUUGAGCUCCAGCCAACACAUCCACAUGGCAGUCAACAAAAAGGAGGAAAGAGGAUACGUUUUUCUCCCUUUCAGAGUCCGUGUCAUUUUCACUUACCCUCACUGGCCAGAACUGAAUCAUGUAGCCACACCACCUGCUAGGGAGGCUGGGGAAUGCAGUCUUUAUUCCAGGUGCUCAUGUGCCUAGUUAAAACACAGAUGCCUUAUUACUGAGGAAGGAGGGGAGAAUGGAUAAACAGUACUCUGUGCUACAGUCCUGAAAGGUUUUAAGGAAGGGAGUAUUUCUUACGCUGCCAAAACGUGUUGUAAAACUGGACACAGUUUUCCUCGUGAAGGAUCCUGAGUCCUACCGUACCCUCCAGCACACACUGCUGCUCUCUGCGUGACCUUGAGACUCCCGUUUGGGUCUUGGAUUCCUGAUCCACAAAAAGGAGGCUAUCCCGCCCAUCUAAUAACAGCAUUAUGGGAGCCAGUAGGGUAAUAAUAAUAAAAGGGCUUAGCAGCGGGUAGGAGUGAGCAAUCCUUUUAGGGAGGAUGUUAAUUCCGAGAAAUACCCAAUCUGUGAACUAUCUAGAGCUUUGGAAGCACCAAGGAAAUAAACACCACUCCAAAUUUCCGAUGGUCAUCCUGUAAGACAGCAACCAGCGAGAAGUGCUUAAGUGCGCAGAAGGGGGCUGAUGUCCACUGCCCGUAAGUGGACAGAACCAGGCUGAUGUCAUCAGCUUCCUGGGAAAUGCCAAAGUUAAAGUGACCUGCUCCCUGAGCAGACAGCAGUCACGGGCCCCUGGUCACAGAGCCCAGACUCUUGAGAGACAUGACCAGAUGCUGUUUCCAGAAGAUCCAGCUGCGUUCACACGUCACACUGAGGGAGACAGGAUUUAGGAUGAGUUGGUCUCUAAGACCCGGGUUAGAGGAAAAGUCGGGACAGGACUAUAGUUCAUUUGUUCCUAUUCUGGAAAGCUCCCUCUACCUAAUAAUAGAGUAAGAUUAUCUUGUUCAACACACACCAGUCCAAAGAGGCAGGUGCCAGUCACACCUCCAUUUUACAGAUGAGAAAAUCGAGGCCCAAGAGCCCACAGUUACUACCGGCUGAUGGUAGGCUCUGUCUCAGGAAGUCUGGCUCCAUAGCCCUUGAAGGUAAACUGCUAAUUACCCUGCCUCCAACUGCCUAAAUCUUAAGAAGUCUCACUUCCAAUGCCACGCACAGGGCUUGAAGGCCUACUAUGUGCCAGGCCCUCGACUGAGUGUGGGUGUUGUAGAGACAAAAAAGACACAGUCCUGGUCCUCAAGGAGUUCGCAAGCUCGGGAGUAUACUGAGUGAAUGUACUGCUGGGUAUGCUGAGUGGUUACCGCAUAUGUGGGAGGAAGGCCUAACCCACCCUGCAGGCCAUGCCAGGAGCAGUCAGGGAAGGCUUCCUGGAGGAGGCAACACCUGAGCUGAGCCUGAUGUCUCUUACUCAAAUACACUUGAAUGUGUCUGAAAUAGUAUACAAGCUUCUCUCUCUCUCUCUCUCUCUCACACACACACACACCAAAUAUUACUGCUUUAUAACUACCCACCUUUGAUCCACCAGUCUGAUCCUCCUAAUCUAUUUACAAACAGACCUCUGCUCACCAUUGGUAAGGACGUCUGAGUGGGCCUUCCUGAAUCUCAGCCCAUCUGUUUUAUGGCUCAGGUGUUUCAUUUCAGGUUACAGCAGAUUUUGGAGCAAAAGGCAGCCUCACAUAAGUGUCCAGAGGAGGACAGAGGCCACGCUCAUACCUGCCCCUGUCCCUACCCCCAACUGGAGAGCCGGGGCCCCUGGUGUGAACCAGGCCAGUCAUUCUUCCGCUCACACUUCCUCACCAUGGGCCUGCUAUGACCUUCAUAACCUCGUCUUUUAUAUGACUUUUUAUAGGACCGUAUAUAACCUUCAUAUGACCUCGUCUUUUAUCCCCAGAACAAUUGUUUCCAUGGAGAACAUUUUCUUAUUGGAAAACACAAGGCUUGAAACUGAAGACAAUUAAGGGGUAGGGAAAAUGAAAAGCCUGGGAUUCCAGCCCAUUGGAGGAAAGUAAGAUCCAGAAAGGGCACUGCAGGAAUGGUGGGGGCAGCCAGGGCUCCUGGCCUGGCUUCUUGAGAGGCACGGUGUUCUGGAUAUUCAGACGGUAUUUAAUAGAUGCACAAGAACAUGGACCUGGCACAUCCAUGCAUCUAUGAAGCAUGGGAUUGGUGCACCAGCCUGGAUAGAAAGAGUGUGGCGAGGGGACUUGCUUUGAAGCUGUGCGCAACAUGCGGUGGAGAAAACGUCAGUUGUCUACGCCAGAGAGGGAAGGCAGGAUAUCAGCCCUGUGAUACUCUAGAAAACAACGCACCUCUCCAUCCAUUUAGAUCCUAUAUUCCCGACAUGGAAUUCAGGUCUGAAGCCAUCAUCUCCAGUUUCGAGGUUGCUGGCUCUUAUGUUCUUGCUUCAAUGGCUGCUCCCCUCUCAGACUGUGUCGACCUGUGCUAAACUCACUCCCUGGGGCAGGCAUUGGCUCAUAGUCAAAUUCUCAGAACUGAGCUCAGUUUGCUGUCGGGGCUGGGUGAAUAGUUGGGUGUGUGUGCGCACAUGCAUGUGUGUGUGUGUGUUCUCCUCCAGUGUGGCACCUUCUGUCAGCUCUUCUGCAGCCUCUCUUUUAAUAAAUUCAUUCCCAAUCCUUUUAAACAUUUCAUCUUUAAACCCACAAGAAUGCUAGAAUUCUAUCUGAGCUUCAAGAAUUAUAUAUUUAAAAAGUCGCUUGAAAUUGCAUAACCACUAAUCUAGGAACAUUAACCUUUUUGAAUCUUUCAAGUAGUUGCAUGAGCAAACCUAAAAGUGUCCUUUUCCUUCACUGUUUAGUGAGUUAACUAAUCAUUCUGGCAUUGUUCUUAUUUUUCAUGUCAAGAAACCCAACAGUACUUCCCUGCACUAUAUAAGUUUCUGAGAGCUCUUAAAACAGGUUGUCAUCAGAAAAAAAAGAGUGAAGUUUUCCAAAAUGAGCUUUAAAGAAGAUAAUUCUCCAGGAACGCAGUUAAAAGAGAAAGUUUAUAUGUAAGUAAUUGCUGAGGAAUGUGUUUUAAUACAGUGAUAUCUUAAUGUGAUGACGCAGUCUAAAUAUGUUUUAUUUGCAAUGUUCUUGAAACAACUUAUCGAGGUGCUUUGUGCUCUGGAAUGAGAUACUUCUCUUCAAUUAAGAGAUCCAAGUGCUCCAAAGAGAUAGAAGGUAACGUCUAUUUGGGGGAUAUCACCAAAAGAAAGGAAAAGAAAAACUAAACUUUAUUAAAACGCUGAAAAUCCAGUGUGCUUAAAUGAAACGUUCAGUAUGGUUUAUCUAGAUAAGGAGAAUGCAGUACAAUGAAACUAUUUUAGUCUUGCGUAUGUGAAACACAGUUGUAACAUUCUAACUUCUUAGAACCUAGUGGGUAUUUCACAGGGAUCCAGUCUUUCAUUUCAGCUAUUCCGAUAUGUUUGACUUUGUCAUAAAUUUAUUAAUGUAUCAUGUAAAUAGAAAAGCAUAUUUUAAUGUUGAGACAGAGAUUCCUUUUAAAAAUAACUUUUUCUUAUUAUAAAAAGUUACACAGAAAUUUACAGAGAAAAUAAAAAUCAGCCAUAAUCACACCAUUAGGGAGAACGAUUAUUAACAUUUUGGUAUUAUCAUUCCAGUCUUCUUUUGUGCAUAAAAAAUGUAAUUUUUAG